Molecule: ribosomal RNA, 393 nt
Filed under: uncultured Gammaproteobacteria bacterium
Lineage: Bacteria; Pseudomonadati; Pseudomonadota; Gammaproteobacteria
Description: bacterial SSU rRNA
Rfam family: Bacterial small subunit ribosomal RNA
Source: RNAcentral
AAUGGGGGCAACCCUGAUCUAGCCAUGCCGCGUGAGUGAUGAAGGCCUUAGGGUCGUAAAGCUCUUUCGCCUGUGAUGAUAAUGACAGUAGCAGGUAAAGAAACCCCCGGCUAACUCCGUGCCAGCAGCCGCGGUAAUACGGAGGGGGUUAGCGUUGUUCGGAAUUACUGGGCGUAAAGCGCGCGUAGGCGGAUUAGAAAGUUGGGGGUGAAAUCCCGGGGCUCAACCCCGGAACUGCCUCCAAAACUGCUAGUCUAGAGUUCGAGAGAGGUGAGUGGAAUUCCGAGUGUAGAGGUGAAAUUCGUAGAUAUUCGGAGGAACACCAGUGGCGAAGGCGGCUCACUGGCUCGAUACUGACGCUGAGGUGCGAAAGUGUGGGGAGCAAACAGGAUU